Hipposideros armiger (great roundleaf bat) is the source of this 910-nucleotide long non-coding RNA. RefSeq lists it as uncharacterized. Lineage: Eukaryota; Metazoa; Chordata; Mammalia; Chiroptera; Hipposideridae. The record is from RefSeq and is a predicted model, not a curated record. The transcript is spliced from 4 exons.
UAUGGCAGCUGGAAAGGGAUGGGGAGAAGUAAUCGAGUUAGGAUAUGUGUUGGAGAUAAAUUAGAUGGGAAUUCCGGUGCUCCUCACCUGGACUCAGACUACAGAAGGGAUAUCUGUAAAAGAAGCUCUCAUUACCGAACAAGAAUUGGAACUGAAAGGAGAAAUUUCCUGGUCUCGUUUGAUAGAUGUAAGACACUCCUAAGCAAGAAAGGCUGGUGUGAAAGUUUCAUGCAUAAUAUAGAACGAUCAUUAAAGGCAUCAGAUAUCGAUUUGACUGAACACUCCUGCUGACUUUCAACAGAAGUUGCAUAGCCUUCAGCAACAUGUGACGCAAUUGAUGAAAAGAUGAAACCACGAAGAAACUGAAGGUGAAUAAGCAGCUAAGUAACAUGCCUCAAGACAUCCAGCCAGGAAGAGGAAGAACUAGAAUUUAAAGACAGAUUCUGUGGAUCAGGAAUCUGGUAGCGACAUUGGUGGGUGCUUCUGGUUCAGGAUAUCCCAGGAGACUAUAGUCAGCCAGGACAGCAGCAAUCUCAAGACGCACCUGGAUAAGCCUCCCAAACUCACACCCAUGGUGUUUGUCAGGCUUUGGAAGAUCCACUCCCAGUUUAAGGUUGCCAACACUGAAACUGGCUUCCCCUGGAAUGAGUGAUCCAAGAGGAAGUGAGAGGGACCACCCAAGGUGGAAGCCAUUAUCUUGUAAUAACCCAAUUUUGAAAGUGACUGACACCCCAUAACUUCUGAUAUUGUCUAUUCACGAAAAGUAAACCAAUUAGUCCAGCCCACAAUCACAGGGAAGGGAUUAUAGAAGCUCAUGAACAUUAGGAGAUGAGAGUCAUUGAGCAUCAUCUUUGAGGCUGCCUAUUGUCGAUGAAAAACAUUCAGCCUAAGAGAAAACUUGUAAGAGUUU